GACGAACGCUGGCGGCGUGCCUAAUACAUGCAAGUCGAACGCAUUUUCUUUCACCGUAGCUUGCUACACCGAAAGAAAAUGAGUGGCGAACGGGUGAGUAACACGUGGGUAACCUGCCCAUCAGCGGGGGAUAACACUUGGAAACAGGUGCUAAUACCGCAUAAUUCCAUUUACUGCAUGGUAGAUGGAUGAAAGGCGCUUUUGCGUCACUGAUGAAUGGACCCGCGGUGCAUUAGCUAGUUGGUGGGGUAACGGCCUACCAAGGCUGCGAUGCAUAGCCGACCUGAGAGGGUGAUCGGCCACACUGGGACUGAGACACGGCCCAGACUCCUACGGGAGGCAGCAGUAGGGAAUCUUCGGCAAUGGACGCAAGUCUGACCGAGCAACGCCGCGUGAGUGAAGAAGGUUUUCGGAUCGUAAAACUCUGUUGUUAGAAAAGAACAAGGAUGAGAGUGGAAAGUUCAUCCCUUGACGGUAUCUAACCAGAAAGCCACGGCUAACUACGUG
RNAcentral lists this ribosomal RNA (507 nucleotides) under uncultured bacterium. Its description in RNAcentral is "partial 16S ribosomal RNA". It matches the Rfam family "Bacterial small subunit ribosomal RNA", at positions 28 to 507 of the family's 1533-position model. The record is from RNAcentral.